AUUAUUAAUUUAUAAUACAGGAAGUAAUUUUCUACAGCAGCUAAAUUGCUCAUAACAAACUAAAUACUAUACUUAAAGAUACAUAAAAGGUAAAUUAUUUUAUGGUAGUUAUAGGGUCUGAGGUAUAUUGUCUCAUUUUCACAGCAAUUGCUUGCAUGUAAGUACUGAACAAAACUGUCUCUGAAGUAGUCACUUUGGAUAAGCAGAGAGGGGUCCUGGCUAGUGAGGUUAAGUAGAGGUUAUCUGAGUUUGGAUUCUUAGGGGUUUUUUGGAUACUUCGGGUUUUUUUUAAAUUUGGAUACUUAGGGUUUUUUUUAAAUGCUGAUUUAAUACAGAUAGUCCAGUUGUUCUAAGCAAAAUUAAACAGAAUACACCAUAGGAGAUUAGUAUCAUUAAAUAAAAAUCAGUACUUUAAGGUAAAGUUUGACGAUAAGAAUCUUGCUACUUUACCAGUCUGUCUGACAAGAGGGGUGGCCACAUUCUGGAUCACGGUGCACUUUUUUCCCUAGUUGGUUUGUCAAGGGCCCAGUCAAUAGAGCAGGAUGAUGAAACUGUUGAUUCAUCAACUGAAAUGGUAUCUCAGAUCAUAGCAAGCACUAGAUAAUCCAGGUAGCAUGGGCUGUAAUCCUCGGUGUGUGAACAAAGACACCUCUUUGUGAUGCUGCCUCUUUACUGGACCAGCUCUAGCAUGACUAAGUCAGACACUUAAGGGCGAGUAUGAGAGCUAGGGAUCAUUUUACACUUCUGUCUCCUCCUGCCUCUUUCCCUUACCAUCCUCUGAAUUUCUGCAAUAUGGCUGUGCAUUAAGGCAAGUUAUUCACCAUUUUGAGGGAGUGAACUUCAUUGUUGCUACUUGCUUGCUCUCUCGGGCAGCUAUCUACAAACCUAAUUAGCUGUUAGAACAGCACUUAAAUUAAUAUACCUUAUUACCCAGCCUAUGCUGAAAUAAGCAUUAUCAAGUUAAGCACUUGUACCAGCCUUAAUGCAUCAGCACUAGGAAGUAAUCUUGCUUUGUAAUAGCAUAAUUUUAUGCGCAGACAAGAAUUAAGCAUGAGUGUUUUACAAUACUCCUGAAAUCUGAUUAAGCUAAAUACUGUAAUGUGAAGUUUGCUGUUGAAUGAACUCAAAUCAAAUCUGUAAACACACCCACUGUCUCUCUUAAUUCUCUUCCCUGCUGCUGUAACUCAAAUUGUUUUUUGCUUCUGUCCUACAGUCAGCAGAUCAUCUGCCCAAGGAUACUUACAUUAUAAAGCUCCUGUUCUUAACAGUAUUUGGUGGUCAUGUUAAAAAAGCAAUUGUGCUUCAGCUCUGACUCCAGCAAAAUAGUUAGAAGGGACUGCCCUCUUUGACCUGCAUCUCUACCACUGCAGCUCUGCUCUCCGGGACCCUGUGUAAGCCCUGCUUCUCCUAGACUCCUGCUUCUUCCUACGUGUGCUUUGGCUUCAGCUGUCUUUGGGGGAGGUGGUGGGUGUGCGUAGAUGUAUGCUGGAUAGUCACUGACUGCCCACAUGGCCAAGCAAAAUCCUUGUUGCAAUGCUGCUUCUAGCAUGUCCCGGCUGAACCACUGCACUUCAUGCUUUCAGCAUGGGAGAAUGUACGUGCUUCAGUUUCUGCUGCAUUUUCUCUUUCUGGUCACAGAGAAGCAACAUUGGUGCUGAAUAACCAUUACAAAGUUUGCUGGUGGAACAACAUGCAGUAUUGUCUUGCAGGUGAUGCUGCACUAUUUUAGCAAAUUUGCUUGUAACAGCCCAGAGUUUAAAGUCUAUUAAGAGUAAAUCCACAGUUUUCUAUUUUAGCUAUAAAGAAAGAAGAGAUCCAUGCAAAGGAAAAAAAGAAUGAGGAAACCUUAUUAGUUACCUUUCAACUCAGCCAUAAAGACAGCCCUGGCUUCCACCCUUAUUUCAGAAAAAUCUCUAUCCUGGACCAUAUUCCAAACACCUUAAAGUUUAAUAUGGUAACUUAAAAGUUGCUAGUCCAAGCUAUGAAUCUUGUAAUCAGGCGUAUCUCAUGAUAGUUCACCCUUGUAUUGUUUUGUUCUACUACUGUCAGUUACUGGUAAUUUGCCUGGGUACUGGAAAUUGGGAUUUGUAUUCACUGCCCAAGAAUCCUGCCUGUGCAUGAAGGAGCAGGGGCAGAGCAGUCAGUACCUCUCACCUUCUCCACGUAACAGCACCAUAAAUGGACGAUACUGCUGCAGUGCUAUCAUGCCAAGACAGAUUAUAAACUUCACUAAAGACUUAUUCAAACAGGACUAAUUUUUUUUUUUCUAGGAUUAUAAAGAACAAGAAGCAGAAAUGGUUAAAUUAGCCACAAACACAAGGUCAAGCAGCAAUUCUGGAGUCAGAUUAGCAUCAGAAAGCUGGAGCCAUCUGGACUUCGAGCUUAGAGCAGGCUCUGAUGUUUUUCCAUGUGUACCACUUUCCUCAGUCAUAUAGAAACAGUCUUUGAAUUUGUAUCUCUACUAAAGCUUUCUCUUUUCCUCAAGUGAAUCCCUGGUGGAAAAAUAAACUAAGGCUGAAUUCAUUUUAAGUCAAGAGCAAGACUUCAAAGGAAACUUUGGCAAAGGAGAUUCAAAAGAGAAAAACAGGGUGGAAACAGGGUUGGCAUAAGAGGACACAAGCUUCUCUGAUAGUCAUCUGGAAAGGCUUGGGCACAGUAACUUUUGGUGACCAUGCUUUCUGUUUCUUCCAUAUCAUUCUGAAGGCUGGUAAGCUUGGUAAGCUGUGUUUG
Molecule: long non-coding RNA, 2730 nt
Organism: Harpia harpyja (harpy eagle)
Lineage: Eukaryota; Metazoa; Chordata; Aves; Accipitriformes; Accipitridae
Exons: 3
Source: RefSeq, a predicted model, not a curated record